Molecule: ribosomal RNA, 296 nt
Filed under: uncultured bacterium
Lineage: Bacteria
Description: partial 16S ribosomal RNA
Rfam family: Bacterial small subunit ribosomal RNA
Source: RNAcentral
GGAUUAGAUACCCUGGUAGUCCACGCCGUAAACGAUGAGUACUAGCUAUUGGAGGUAUUGACUCCUUCAGUGGCGCAGCUAACGCAUUAAGUACUCCGCCUGGGAAGUACGGUCGCAAGACUAAAACUCAAAGGAAUUGACGGGGGCCCGCACAAGCGGUGGAUUAUGUGGUUUAAUUCGAAGCAACGCGCAGAACCUUACCAAGACUUGAAAUCCUAGGAAUCGGGCGUAAUGGCCUGAGUGCUCGCAAGAGAAUCUAGUGACAGGUGCUGCAUGGCUGUCGUCAGCUCGUGCCG